AUCGCUUCUCGGCCUCUUGGCUCAGAUCAAAGUGAAGUUUCUGUUCUUAUCAGCUUGAUCUCUGAUACUCAGUCCACCGGACUGCUCGGGAUUGACUCCUUUUUGGGACCUGGUCAGCCGAGGGGCUCGCUCCUCGCUGGCCAAGGGUCGGCCCGGCCUAGGCACUUACCGCCGGGAACGGCCCUCUCCCC
Non-coding RNA from Steinernema glaseri, 191 nucleotides. Lineage: Eukaryota; Metazoa; Nematoda; Chromadorea; Rhabditida; Steinernematidae. The record is from Rfam.